RNAcentral lists this ribosomal RNA (271 nucleotides) under uncultured bacterium. RNAcentral describes it as "partial 16S ribosomal RNA". It matches the Rfam family "Archaeal small subunit ribosomal RNA", at positions 474 to 745 of the family's 1478-position model. The record is from RNAcentral.
AACCAGCACCUCGAGUGGUCAGGAGGUUUAUUGGGCCUAAAGCAUCCGUAGCCGGUUGUUUAAGUUUUCGGUUAAAUCUAUGCGCUUAACGUAUAGGCUGCCGAAAAUACUGGACAGCUAGGGAGUGGGAGAGGUACACGGUACUCAAUAGGAAGGGGUAAAAUCCUUUGAUCUGUUGAUGACCACCUGUGGCGAAGGCGGUGUACCAGAACACGUUCGACGGUGAGGGAUGAAAGCUGGGGGAGCAAACCGGAUUAGAAACCCCGGUAGU